UACGAAGGGGGCUAGCGUUGUUCGGAAUUACUGGGCGUAAAGCGCACGUAGGCGGAUUGUUAAGUGAGGGGUGAAAUCCCAGGGCUCAACCCUGGAACUGCCUUUCAUACUGGCAAUCUCGAGUCCGGAAGAGGUGAGUGGAAUUCCGAGUGUAGAGGUGAAAUUCGUAGAUAUUCGGAGGAACACCAGUGGCGAAGGCGGCUCACUGGUCCGGUACUGACGCUGAGGUGCGAAAGCGUGGGGAGCAAAC
This 250-nucleotide ribosomal RNA is filed under the name uncultured bacterium. RNAcentral describes it as "partial 16S ribosomal RNA". It matches the Rfam family "Bacterial small subunit ribosomal RNA", at positions 524 to 773 of the family's 1533-position model. The record is from RNAcentral.